Molecule: ribosomal RNA, 394 nt
Filed under: uncultured bacterium
Lineage: Bacteria
Description: partial 16S ribosomal RNA
Rfam family: Bacterial small subunit ribosomal RNA
Source: RNAcentral
AUACGUAGGGGACGAGCGUUGUCCGGAAUUACUGGGCGUAAAGGGCGCGCAGGCGGUAUAUCAAGUCAGCUGUCAAAGACUGGGGCUCAACCCUGGUAUGCGGUUGAAACUGAUAUGCUGGAGUGCUGUAGAGGCAAGUGGAAUUCCCAGUGUAGCGGGGAAAUGCGUAGAUAUUGGGAAGAACACCGGUGGCGAAGGCGACUUGCUGGGGAGCAACUGACGCUGAGGCGCGAAAGCCAGGGGAGCAAACGGGAUUAGAUGCCCCGGUAGUCCUGGCCGUAAACGAUGAAUGCUAGGUGUGUGUGUAGAGAUACAUGCGUGCCGGAGUUAACGCGAUAAGCAUUCCGCCUGGGGAGUACGGUCGCAAGAUUGAAACUCAAAUGAAUUGACGGGG